This 468-nucleotide ribosomal RNA is filed under the name uncultured bacterium. RNAcentral describes it as "partial 16S ribosomal RNA". It matches the Rfam family "Bacterial small subunit ribosomal RNA", at positions 28 to 507 of the family's 1533-position model. The record is from RNAcentral.
GACGAACGCUGGCGGCGUGCUUAACACAUGCAAGUCGAACGGAAAGGCCCUGCUUUUGUGGGGUGCUCGAGUGGCGAACGGGUGAGUAACACGUGAGUAACCUGCCCUUGACUUUGGGAUAACUUCAGGAAACUGGGGCUAAUACCGGAUAGGAGCUCCUGCUGCAUGGUGGGGGUUGGAAAGUUUCGGCGGUUGGGGAUGGACGCGCGGCUUAUCAGCCUGUUGGUGGGGUAGUGGCUUACCAAGGCUUUGACGGGUAGCCGGCCUGAGAAGGUGACCGGCCACAAUGGGACUAAGGUACGGCGCAGACUCCUACGGGAGGCAGCAGUGGGGAGUAUUGCACAGUAGGGGGAAGCCUGAUGCAGCAACGCCGCGUGCGGGAUGACGGCCUUCGAGUGGUAAACCGCUUUCGCCUGUGACGAAGCGUGAGUGACGGUAAUGGGUAAAGAAGCACCGGCUAACUACGUG